CAGUCGAACGAAGUUUUUCUUUCGGGAGGAACUUAGUGGCGGACGGGUGAGUAACCCGUGAGUAACCUGCCCUGUACAGGGGGACAACAGCUGGAAACGGCUGCUAAUACCGCAUAAGCCCUUAGCACUGCAUGGUGCAUAGGGAAAAGGAGCAAUCCGGUACAGGAUGGACCCGCGUCUGAUUAGCCAGUUGGCAGGGUAACGGCCUACCAAAGCGACGAUCAGUAGCCGAUCUGAGAGGAUGUACGGCCACAUUGGGACUGAGACACGGCCCAGACUCCUACGGGAGGCAGCAGUGGGGAAUAUUGCACAAUGGAGGAAACUCUGAUGCAGCGACGCCGCGUGAGUGAAGAAGUAUUUCGGUAUGUAAAGCUCUAUCAGCAGGGAAGAAAAUGACGGUACCUGACUAAGAAGCACCGGCUAAAUACGUGCCAGCAGCCGCGGUAAUACGUAUGGUGCAAGCGUUAUCCGGAUUUACUGGGUGUAAAGGGAGCGUAGGUGGCAAGGCAAGCCAGAAGUGAAAACCCGGGGCUCAACCGCGGGAUUGCUUUUGGAACUGUCAUGCUAGAGUGCAGGAGGGGUGAGCGGAAUUCCUAGUGUAGCGGUGAAAUGCGUAGAUAUUAGGAGGAACACCAGAGGCGAAGGCGGCUCACUGGACUGUAACUGACACUGAGGCUCGAAAGCGUGGGGAGCAAACAGGAUUAGAUACCCUGGUAGUCCACGCGGUAAACGAUGAAUACUAGAUGUCGGGUAGCAAAGCUCUUCGGUGCCGCAGCAAACGCAAUAAGUA
Molecule: ribosomal RNA, 790 nt
Filed under: uncultured bacterium
Lineage: Bacteria
Description: bacterial SSU rRNA
Rfam family: Bacterial small subunit ribosomal RNA
Source: RNAcentral